AUCGCUUCUCGGCCUUUUGGCUAAGAUCAAGUGUAAUCUAUAUAAGUAACAAAACUUCCUUUAUUUUAUUAGGAAAUUUUAAAAAGAGGACAAGUGUCCCAGGCCACAGGUUGGACACGCCUGCUUAGGGUUUGUACAAUGUGAAGCAGUCACAUU
RNAcentral lists this small nuclear RNA (156 nucleotides) under Heterocephalus glaber (naked mole-rat). RNAcentral describes it as "U2 spliceosomal RNA (ENSHGLG00100047040.1)". It matches the Rfam family "U2 spliceosomal RNA". Rfam says of the family: U2 is a small nuclear RNA (snRNA) component of the spliceosome (involved in pre-mRNA splicing). Complementary binding between U2 snRNA (in an area lying towards the 5' end but 3' to hairpin I) and the branchpoint sequence (BPS) of the intron results the bulging out of an unpaired adenosine, on the BPS, which initiates a nucleophilic attack at the intronic 5' splice site, thus starting the first of two transesterification reactions that mediate splicing. The record is from RNAcentral. Lineage: Eukaryota; Metazoa; Chordata; Mammalia; Rodentia; Bathyergidae.